UGAUAUCUUUAUUCUUUUAGU
This 21-nucleotide non-coding RNA is filed under the name Caenorhabditis elegans. Lineage: Eukaryota; Metazoa; Nematoda; Chromadorea; Rhabditida; Rhabditidae. The record is from RNAcentral.